CGAUAACCGCAUAAACUUCUAGUGUAGUGAAUAUUUA
This 37-nucleotide unclassified non-coding RNA is filed under the name Leishmania tarentolae. RNAcentral describes it as "gND8VIII". Lineage: Eukaryota; Euglenozoa; Kinetoplastea; Trypanosomatida; Trypanosomatidae. The record is from RNAcentral.